RNAcentral lists this ribosomal RNA (270 nucleotides) under uncultured prokaryote. RNAcentral describes it as "partial 16S ribosomal RNA". It matches the Rfam family "Bacterial small subunit ribosomal RNA", at positions 524 to 794 of the family's 1533-position model. The record is from RNAcentral.
UACGUAGGGGCAAGCGUUAUCCGGAUUUACUGGGUGUAAAGGGAGCGUAGACGGCAUGGCAAGUCUGAUGUGAAAGCCCGGGGCUCAACCCCGGGACUGCAUUGGAAACUGCCAGGCUGGAGUGUCGGAGAGGUAAGAGGAAUUCCUAGUGUAGCGGUGAAAUGCGUAGAUAUUAGGAGGAACACCAGUGGCGAAGGCGUCUUACUGGACGAUCACUGACGUUGAGGCUCGAAAGCGUGGGGAGCAAACAGGAUUAGAUACCCUAGUAGU